AUUUCCUUGCAGGGCAAGUGAACAGAGGCAUAGGACACGCGGGAGCUAAAGUCAAAUUAAAAAGACCAGAAGUGGGGACACAGAGUGAAACUCGGCUCGCCGUCCCUAAGCCCCAGAGUGGUGUUCUUGAAGCACCCAGGGCUCGAUCUAAAAAUCAGACCGUGAACUCAGACUCCAGCAUUGCGAUGUGGGCUUCCCACUCGCACAGCACAUGGUCACUGAAACCAUCCCAAGGGAAUUUAAAGCAGCAGGACCCCGGCGUUACUGUUUGGUUGUUGCCUGGAGCCAGUGGAACAUCCGACCCAAGCAUGGAGGCUGCUCAGCGCUUCUGCAUGAAUUAAAUGAGGUAGUACAAUGGGGCAUGUGGACUAGGAAGCCGUCACUGCGUUGGACGUUGGCCUUGCAAUGCAAACACCACCCCAUCCCACUCAGGACACGCCUGGGAAGGCACUCAGCUCAUUGAAAGAGCCCAUCAGUUUUGCUUCUUCUCUGUGACCCAUUCUGGGGAGCUGUGACCAACAGCAUAGCGGUAACUUCAGGCCCGCAAGAAGAGGGUGAAAAGUAGAUACAGUUAGCUCAUCAACUUGGAAAUGCCUUCAACAUGAAACGAAGAGUCAUCCUCAAAUUUUGCAGGAAAGAAGAGCCCCCUUUUGUUUGGACCUCCGAGACGUCUCACUUUCACCAUUCAUUCGGGGCGCUGGGAGGCGGAGGCCUCAGCAUUUCCUAACUUAUUUUUUUAUGAAGCACUCGCCUCACCCAGUAGACUGAGAGUGUGCUCCCCGUUGACCUCGGCUCAGAAAGAAGGGAAGUCCGAUGCUAAGUUCCUCUUCCUCUACCACGGGCUCCACGCACCCCAAGACCCCCCGGGAGGUCCCGAUCCUCCUUCAGAACCAGAGCACAAGGACCGUCUUUCAUGCUCUUUUCUUGGUAGAACCUGACCUGUUGCAGAGCCAAGCACCCCGCCUCUGUCUUGGGCACGCGACAGUCAGCCCUCGGGAACUUAGGUCCAGCCCAGUAAUGGACUUGUUGGCAUCCCCUCAUCUCCCAGUUAUGAAUUCCUUGGGUCCCGUGUGUCUCUACGUUCCAGUUGGUAGCACCGAACGAGUCUGCUGAAUGGAUUUUCCCUUAGUUUGAAUCCCUGCCUGGUUUGGCCAUAAGAAAACAAAUACCAUUCACGGGGUGUGUGACAUAGACGCUGGUGCUCCCCAAUUAUUCCAUGAGAUCCUGCAUAUUUUCCAGCCUUCCUGGCACUUAGCAUGGGGCCAGGUGACGAAUUCAAGUUCACGGGCACAAGGGGGAGUGAAGCAAUGCACAGCAUUUGCCACCCGAGGACACCGAGGAGGUUGAAAGCUGCACGCAUCUGCCGCGGUGGCUGGAAGCGAAGAACACUGAGACGGCGAAGGGGCCACAGAGAGCAUCUCUAAUGCGCACCACUGCUGAAAGGCGGCCACCAGAGAGGACAGGCUGAGCUGUAUCGGACUGCUCCGAAAGUGACAAAUAAGCCUCUGGCUUUGGAGGUUUGCUGCCACAGCAAAACUUAGCUUUACCCUGACCAACCACGGGUGAGUUUCACAAGCUGAAAGUGUAAGGAGGAGACAAGCUUGUGGAAUAUGACAGCAUCACUGGCUAGCAACAUCUUCUGAUAUCCUGGAAUUAGUCGGGAUGGGCCAUGGAUCUGGAUCUGAAACUUUUAAAUCGAAAUGGGGACAAGAGCAUCCCUAUGACGUCAUUGGAGAAUCUGAGGCAUAGAGAAGCGAAGGGAUGGGCUUCUCGGAUUAGGAGUGAGCGAAGCAUGAGAAGAGAGACCUCAAUUUCCCCUGGGCUGUUUCCCACCCUUCCUAGUUGGGAUUUCUCCUCCCCCAGCAUUUGUGCCCUUUGGGUUAGUAUUCUAGGCAUGAGACUGACCUAUUUCGAAGUGGGACAGGUUGGCAUCUCUAAAGCGGGUUCCACAGAAGACUCUGUUUUGAAGCAACAUGGUGGUAAAGAGGUUAACAUUGAAUGGGAGUUUUACUUCCAGGCAGGGAUCUCGAGCCCUGGCGGAAAGACUGCAGCUGCCCUGUGGCCCAGAUAAUGCAACAUCGGGCUGAGCAAGGACAUCUGAGAACAUUCUGUUCUCCUCCCCCGAGACCAAUUAAAAUCUGGAGGCAUCUUUCUUGUUGAUCGAGCUGACUAACUAAUUGAAACGGAAUUGUGAUAUUUUCAUCAGCUUUCUCUUAUCCCUCUUGGCCUUGCCAGCAGAGAGCAAGCUGAAUGAUCAGAGAGUUUCAAGCAUGUGAGGCCCAGGGAACGGAACCCCUCCCACCGUAAACCACUACAUUACCACGGAACAAGGUUCGAAAAAGGAUGAUGCGGGGUUGGGAGUAGGGCGAUACGCUCAAAUCUCAGUCUCAGUUCAUCCAGAUACCAAAGAUACCAUCUUCGGGAUUCCUGAUGAACCAUAACGCUGUCCUUCAGCAGUUGCUGCUCCAAUAAACCAGCUUCUGACCUCUGCCUUCCUAACGAACAUCCCUCUGCCUGACUGGGGAAGCUCCUAGAAACAAAGAACCAAACGCCUCUGAGGCCCAACAAGAUCCCUUUCCUUCCAUUGAGCUAGAAUGUAUUUCCUCGGCACGUGCAAAUGGCCUAGUGGUUAAUCUUAGCAUUGUCCCAAAGGACAUCCAAGCCUCUGGGAAUGGGUUACAUGAUUGAGAUUGCAGGACCUUUUUCUGCUUCAGCAUGAAGACCUGCAUGUUAGCAUUUGUGAGGAGAGCUCAAGAUGGGGGGAAGUCCUCUUGGCUCCUGAUCUAAGGAAGAGCUGCGUUUUGAAGCAUUGGUAGAAUUGCUCACGUGUCCAGUGUGAGGUGGCCUUGGCUGACAAGCUAUCAAAAUAAAUAAAUAACAAGAAAAU
This 2887-nucleotide long non-coding RNA is filed under the name Sus scrofa (pig). Its description in RNAcentral is "lncRNA (ENSSSCG00030013473.1)". The record is from RNAcentral. Lineage: Eukaryota; Metazoa; Chordata; Mammalia; Artiodactyla; Suidae.